GACGAACGCUGGCGGCGUGCCUAAUACAUGCAAGUAGAACGCUGAAGAGAGGAGCUUGCUCUUCUUGGAUGAGUUGCGAACGGGUGAGUAACGCGUAGGUAACCUGCCUUGUAGCGGGGGAUAACUAUUGGAAACGAUAGCUAAUACCGCAUAACAACGGAUGACACAUGUCAUUUAUUUGAAAGGGGCAAUUGCUCCACUACAAGAUGGACCUGCGUUGUAUUAGCUAGUAGGUGAGGUAAUGGCUCACCUAGGCGACGAUACAUAGCCGACCUGAGAGGGUGAUCGGCCACACUGGGACUGAGACACGGCCCAGACUCCUACGGGAGGCAGCAGUAGGGAAUCUUCGGCAAUGGGGGCAACCCUGACCGAGCAACGCCGCGGGAGUGAAGAAGGGUUUCGGAUCGUAAAGCUCUGUUGUAAGUCAAGAACGGGUGUGAGAGUGGAAAGUUCACACUGUGACGGUAGCUUACCAGAAAGGGACGGCUAACUACGUG
Molecule: ribosomal RNA, 497 nt
Filed under: uncultured bacterium
Lineage: Bacteria
Description: partial 16S ribosomal RNA
Rfam family: Bacterial small subunit ribosomal RNA
Source: RNAcentral